This 310-nucleotide ribosomal RNA is filed under the name uncultured bacterium. RNAcentral describes it as "bacterial SSU rRNA". It matches the Rfam family "Bacterial small subunit ribosomal RNA", at positions 28 to 334 of the family's 1533-position model. The record is from RNAcentral.
GAUGAACGCUAGCGGCAGGCUUAACACAUGCAAGUCGAGGGGCAGCACGAUUGCUUGCAAUUGGUGGCGACCGGCGCACGGGUGCGUAACGCGUAUGCAACUUACCCUUUACAGGGAGAUAGCCCGGGGAAACUCGGAUUAAUAUCUCAUAGUAUCAUAAUGCCACAUGGUAUAAUGAUUAAAGAUUUAUCGGUAAAGGAUGGGCAUGCGUAAGAUUAGCUAGUUGGUAAGGUAACGGCUUACCAAGGCUACGAUCUUUAGGGGGCCUGAGAGGGUGGAACCCCCACACUGGUACUGAGACACGGACCAG